CCCAAAAAGGCCCACCAACAAUUCAAAUCCCUAAACCCAACCCAUUCCAUUUAACAACAACUUCAGCAUAAGCGUACAACUGCCAAACCAGACGACCCCUACGUCUUUUACUUCUUGUUCCUCGACGCGAAGAAACACAGAACCUUCAACAGUCCGAAAAUCAACAUCCUACAGCGAAUCCGCGACCCGAGCCCAGAAACGUGCAGCCUAGCGCGUGUCUUCUCUUCUUCGCCCCUAAUUCUCGUACAAAGCCAGGUGUUGGCAUCUCGCGUGCUUGUCGUCCUUCCUCCAAAAUCGGAGGGAUCCCUUCUUUAAUCCGUUGAAAUAGUACAAAUUCCACUUUGUUGAGCUUUAUCUUCUAGAAAAAUUUGAAUUUUUGAAUUUGAAUUUAUCCAGAAACACCUAACCUGUUUUCCCCCCUAAAUCAAUCCCCAUCUCCUUCUAUAAAAGCUCUCUUUAUUCUUCAUUAAAAAGGUUGGUGAGAGAGGGAAGAAAGUUGGAAAAAAGUUGUUGUUUAGAGCAAAACAUUACACAGAACUCCUUAAGUAAAAAUAGUCAACAUACGUACUAAAUACAUUAAUAACUCCUCUGUUCUUUUUCGCUGCCGGCGCUCACUCCAAGUGUGGUUAAGGUCGAGAUUUGAUCGAGUUUUCUGUUCACUGUUUGUGUUUCAUGUGUGUGGAAGUCACUGCUCCUUCUAGCUCGUCCGGUCCCAAUUCGCAGCCCACAACAAUGUCUCAUGGACCCCACCCUCACAUUUCCAUUUGGGCCAUGGAGGCCCAACAUAUUUUUUUUUAUCGAGUUAGCCAACUAAAAAUCGACAUACAGAUCAAAAAGUCGGAGAAAUGGGUUAAAGAGUUCAAUUUUACUUUCAAAAUAUUGUAUUUUGUUAUUUUAUGGGCCUAAGCCCCUUAUCAUGUUGUAUUAUUAUUAUUUUGAUUAGUUUAGGACAGGUACAAUCGAAAUGGGCCGAAGACCCAAAAAUGAAAAGUGUCCAAACACCGAUCCAGGCGGACAAAAAUUGGAUUUGGACCCAACUCUCUCUUUCUCUCUCUUUUACUUUAUUGCGUAUUUAAUUGUUGAAA
Long non-coding RNA from Solanum pennellii, 1085 nucleotides. RefSeq lists it as uncharacterized. The transcript has 2 exons. Lineage: Eukaryota; Viridiplantae; Streptophyta; Magnoliopsida; Solanales; Solanaceae. The record is from RefSeq and is a predicted model, not a curated record.